This 574-nucleotide ribosomal RNA is filed under the name Verrucaria margacea. RNAcentral's name for it is "eukaryotic LSU rRNA". It matches the Rfam family "Eukaryotic large subunit ribosomal RNA", at positions 151 to 743 of the family's 3401-position model. The record is from RNAcentral. Lineage: Eukaryota; Fungi; Ascomycota; Eurotiomycetes; Verrucariales; Verrucariaceae.
UAGAGGAUGCUUCGGGCAAGGCUGCGGUCUAAUUCGCUUGGAACAGCGGGUCACAGAGGGUGAGAAUCCCGUCUAGGACCGCGUGCCGCGUCCAUGUGAAGCUCCUUCGACGAGUCGAGUUGUUUGGGAAUGCAGCUCUAAAUGGGUGGUAAAUUUCAUCUAAAGCUAAAUAUUGGCCAGAGACCGAUAGCGCACAAGUAGAGUGAUCGAAAGAUGAAAAGCACUUUGAAAAGAGAGUUAAACAGUAUGUGAAAUUGUUGAAAGGGAAGCGCUUGCAAUCAGACUUGCGUGGGGCGGUUCCCCCGGUCUUCUGACCGGGCUAUUCCGUCAUCUCCAGGCCAGCAUCGGUUUGGGUGGUCGGUUAAAGGUCCCGGGAAUGUAUCUACCUUCGGGUCGACUUAGAGCCCGGGGCGCAAUGCGGCCUACCCGGACCGAGGUACGCGCUUCGGCUCGGAUGCUGGCGUAAUGGUUGCAAGCGGCCCGUCUUGAAACACGGACCAAGGAGUCUAACAUCUAUGCGAGUGUUUGGGUGUUAAACCCCUACGCGUAAUGAAAGUGAACGGUGGUAAGAACC